Molecule: long non-coding RNA, 496 nt
Organism: Fukomys damarensis (Damara mole-rat)
Lineage: Eukaryota; Metazoa; Chordata; Mammalia; Rodentia; Bathyergidae
Source: Ensembl
CUGCUGGGUUGAAUUACUGGUUUAUUGUAAAACACAGUUACUCUGGCUGUGCCACAGGCCUUUUAAUAUGGCUGGAGCCUGUAACUUUUAAGCCCUCGCAUGACUUCAGCGCGAGAGACAGCUGCAGUGGUCCCCCAGUCUCUAGCUGAAACAUAAAAAUGAAAACCUGGGAAGUGCCAGCUCGUGCCCUGGGUCCCAGAAAACAGAUCAGUUCCAUUCCCCGCAGCAACGUGAAAGCGAGGCCCUGCUUGCACUGUUGACUGAUGACAGCAAUCCAGACAGAGGACACUCGCUUGCUAUCCAUGAAAAGGUGACCACAUCUCAGAGGCAACUGAGAGAAGCAAGGAAAGACACAGAAAGGACUGCGGUCCUUUCCCCACAACUUGAGUAAGAGGCAAUGGGUGUUCAUCUUCUCCGGAGGCGGGCACAAACCCCUCCUCCUGGUCCAGGCACAGUAGUGAGGUGGGGGUGAUGUGCUUAUGUGGUAUAGUCCAGC